Molecule: ribosomal RNA, 253 nt
Filed under: uncultured bacterium
Lineage: Bacteria
Description: partial 16S ribosomal RNA
Rfam family: Bacterial small subunit ribosomal RNA
Source: RNAcentral
UACGAAGGGGGCAAGCGUUGCUCGGAAUCACUGGGCGUAAAGGGCGCGUAGGCGGACAUUUAAGUCAGAGGUGAAAGCCCGGGGCUCAACCCCGGAAUAGCCUUUGAUACUGGAUGUCUUGAGACCGGAAGAGGUAAGUGGAACUGCGAGUGUAGAGGUGAAAUUCGUAGAUAUUCGCAAGAACACCAGUGGCGAAGGCGGCUUACUGGUCCGGUUCUGACGCUGAGGCGCGAAAGCGUGGGGAGCAAACAGG